This 455-nucleotide long non-coding RNA is filed under the name Homo sapiens (human). Its description in RNAcentral is "HSALNT0328166". Lineage: Eukaryota; Metazoa; Chordata; Mammalia; Primates; Hominidae. The record is from RNAcentral.
GGGUGGAUCAAACCUGUCAAUAUGAGGAUGUCUGUCUUGAGGGAGGAGAAAAAUUCCCACCCUAUCCUCACAGCUGCCUAAGUGAAUAACCACUCAAUCAAAAAUGGAAUCUGGAGUAAAGAAGUUGUGAAACAAGGCAAACAGAAACGCUUUGCACCAAUCCCAUGACCCAAAAACAUGCCGAUACAAAUGGUUCAAUACAGCAAGAUCCAUAAUAACAAGGGUACUGAGUUCUAUAGGAGACUGAAGAUGAAGUAGUUCACUGAACUUGAAGUUCCAUCAAGUUGGUUGAAGAUGUGGAGUGAAAGAUUAUUAAAAUAUUCAUAAUCAAAGCUUGGAGAGAUAAUGGAAAUAUUUGAGGACAAAAUUAAGAUUUCAAGAUGAAUGAUGGCUAGAAAUAAUCAAAUAUCAGCAUGGGCCUGUGACCUUCUGUGACUGAUAAAAUAGUCCAGCUU